Molecule: long non-coding RNA, 2386 nt
Organism: Platichthys flesus (European flounder)
Lineage: Eukaryota; Metazoa; Chordata; Actinopteri; Pleuronectiformes; Pleuronectidae
Exons: 4
Source: RefSeq, a predicted model, not a curated record
CGCGGGAGAUAAUGGGGAUGAUCAUAAAACGGAGGGAGAGCCCGUGCGAGGGAAGCUGAAUGGAUGGAGCCACGCACACGUCACCAGCAGCCGCAGCCAUGAAGAGCGUGCGCUCCAGCCUCCAGCUGCUCAGUCGCUCUCCAUCUCCAGAGCCGCGCGCUGCUCGGCGCUGAGGAGCGGACACACGCGCACCGGAGACUGCGUCAGAGCCCAUGUUGCUGCGCCUGCAGCUCGAGAGGAUGGGUAGCCUUAGGGGUUGGCUGUUAUCUUUGGUUAUCUAGCUGUAUGAGUGAUGUACAUUCUUCAUAAAGCUAGAUAACCGAAAGUAACAAGAAUCCCAUUACACUCCUGAAAAAGGCAUCAAGACCCCAUAUGUACCUCCCUCAAAAAAAAUACACAAACUGCCACAGGAACAGCAACACGUGAAGAAAAUGGACGACAGUUACGAGGACACGGCAGCGGCAGAUUGCAGCAGGAGGCGACGACCAGCGGACCCCUGGAGGAGAGCUGGCAAAAGGAGACUGAAAAACAGAGAAGAAGAAGGAGGAGGAGGGGUUGCUGUUGAUUCUGCCCUCCCUCUCUCCUCGCCCUCCUCUGCAAUCGCCUCCUCCCUCCACCUCCCCCCUUCUUCCUCCUCUGCUCCAUCCUCAGCAGACUGCCCUUUUUUCCUGUACAGCAAGACGCAGCCCGCGCCACCAUCUUAGAGCAACGCUGGCAUGAAAUGGAAGUGGGAAGACCGGCCAGUGCAGGUGAGUGCUGUCGGUGCAGGACGACCGCGGCCAGACAGCGGAGGGGCAGCGGGGGGGGGGGGGGGGGGGGGGCAGCGGGAUCCCUCCUCCAGCCGCCGUCUUCAGCCCGGAGUGAACACGUGUCCGUGCACGACUCGACGCACACUCCUCUCCGUGGCUCUGGAACACUUCGGCAGCGACACGUUGACGUGUGUGAUUCGUGAUUUGACCCGAGAGUCGAGCUGGACUGAGAGUGAGGGAGCGAGGUGCAGACAGAGCGAGGGACGUCCUGGUCCACAGCUGUGACUCUUCUGCUUUGGAGGGUGUGGCCCUGAAUUUUGUGAUUUUCUUUCAUCCACUUACUUACACGUGAAACUAUGUAAAGCUCCACUUACUGCAGGUCACAGUGUGAUUUGUGUUAGUUGCUAGGACUCAGAGACACGUGAAUGUGAGACCCACGGCAGCCGUGAAUAAUACUGCACUGCGAUUGGACAGCUCCGUGUGUCGGCCGACACGAUGGUGAAGGCGUGAGCUGUCGUCUUUAAACUCUAUGCAACUGUUUUAUCCUUUUUGUUCUCAUUCAUCCUGAACUCCUCUCUCAUCCUCCCUGUGUAGUUGUCUUGUUUCUGGGGCUGUAGUGUGUAGACGUCCCUUCAGGCGUCAGCAGCAGAGAUGGAUUCUGAGGAGUUAAUAACUGAGGAGACAGUGAGAGCCUGAGCGUCAGUGUGUGACAGAUGACAGAACGCAGCUCACUUUCAUCACUGCAUGUAUUGAAUCUCAUAUUUGCAGCCUUAACAGACUCGGCAGCUUUAAGCCACAGUCUGAGUGAACGUGGACUCACACAUUUAAUAUUCCUGAUGGCAGGAGUGUGUUUGAUCAGCAGGGAGCAGCUGAGCCGAGCUCGGUGUGUACAGAACCCGCCGCACUAUUAAAACCUCCCAGCAUGCUUUGAGUCGCAGCCGCUCGGCUCCUCCCUGCGUCUCUGUGAUGGCCUUUGGGUGAGACACGACAAAUACAUCGGCUUCACACACUGCCUUAAUUUCCUGUCCUUAACAUUAACACACACACACACACAUACACACACACACACACACACACACACCCCAAUGCAAUAAAGCAAGUGCUAUCGCAGCCUAAUUCAUUCUAUAUUAAUUUUCAGGAAGUGGCAAAUUUUUUAUUACGAUUGAUAAUCUAUGCAAAUCUCUUAAAUAUUACUUUAAACAAUCUAUGUCUAUGCAGUGCUCUUGAUUCAAGGGAGACUAUCUUAGUCUAAUUUAGAAAAUGUAUUCUUCUGAUAAUCAUCCCAGUGCUCGAGACAAUUACUUAUCUGCCUGGAUAAGCUUGAAAUUAUGUUUGUAAUCUCUAGAAAAAAUAAAAGAGUCACUUGUCUGAUACCAGUCGAGUGGCGUGAACAUCAUGAAUUGUCGUCUACAAUAAUUAAAUCGGUUGCACUAAACCUGCAGAUCCGACUGUUUGUGUUCAGCCGUGCUCUGUUGUUUCCAGUGAGCAGCCAUGUUGUUUCCAGUGAGCAGCCAUGUUGUUUCCAGUGAGCAGCCAUGUUUGUGUCACGUAGUCGAAUCGCUGCGGACAAGAAUUCACCUCAUGUGCCUUUCUAUGGAAAACUGUGUUGGAAUAGUAAUAAAGGUUUACAUUGAAAA